This 270-nucleotide ribosomal RNA is filed under the name uncultured soil bacterium. RNAcentral describes it as "partial 16S ribosomal RNA". It matches the Rfam family "Bacterial small subunit ribosomal RNA", at positions 26 to 279 of the family's 1533-position model. The record is from RNAcentral.
AGAAUCAACGCUGGCGGCGUGCCUCAGACAUGCAAGUCGAACGCGAAAGUCCCCUUCGGGGGGCAAGUAGAGUGGCGCACGGGUGAGUAACACGUAGGUAAUCUACCUUUGGAUGGGGAAUAACAAUCGGAAACGGUUGCUAAUACCGCAUAAUGCAGCGGCACCUAAUGGUGACAGUUGUUAAAGCGGGGGAUCGAAAGACCUCGCGUCUGAAGAGGAGCCUGCGGCGGAUUAGCUAGUUGGUAAGGUAAUGGCUUACCAAGGCAACGA